UACGUAGGGUGCGAGCGUUAAUCGGAAUUACUGGGCGUAAAGAGUGUGUAGGCGGUGCUCUAAGUUUGGUGUGAAAUCUCCCGGCUCAACUGGGAGGGUGCGCCGAAAACUGGAAUGCUUGAACGUGGGAGAGGAAAGCGGAAUUCCUGGUGUAGCGGUGAAAUGCGUAGAUAUCAGGAGGAACACCUGCGGUGUAGACGGCUUUCUGGACCAUUGUUGACGCUGAGACACGAAAGCGUGGGUAGCAAACAGG
Molecule: ribosomal RNA, 253 nt
Filed under: uncultured bacterium
Lineage: Bacteria
Description: partial 16S ribosomal RNA
Rfam family: Bacterial small subunit ribosomal RNA
Source: RNAcentral